Molecule: ribosomal RNA, 759 nt
Filed under: uncultured cyanobacterium
Lineage: Bacteria; Bacillati; Cyanobacteriota
Description: bacterial SSU rRNA
Rfam family: Bacterial small subunit ribosomal RNA
Source: RNAcentral
GAUGAACGCUGGCGGUCUGCUUAACACAUGCAAGUCGAACGGAAUCCUUCGGGGUUUAGUGGCGGACGGGUGAGUAACGCGUGAGGAUCUGCCUUCAGGACGGGGACAACAGUUGGAAACGACUGCUAAGACCCGAUGUGCCGAGAGGUGAAAGUAAAUUAGCCUGAAGAUGAACUCGCGUCGGAUUAGCUAGUUGGAGUGGUAAUGGCACACCAAGGCGACGAUCCGUAGCUGGUCUGAGAGGAUGACCAGCCACACUGGGACUGAGACACGGCCCAGACUCCUACGGGAGGCAGCAGUGGGGAAUUUUCCGCAAUGGGCGAAAGCCUGACGGAGCAAGACCGCGUGGGGGAGGAAGGUCUGUGGAUUGUAAACCCCUUUUGUCAGGGAAGAAUCAAAUGACGGUACCUGACGAAUCAGCCUCGGCUAACUCCGUGCCAGCAGCCGCGGUAAUACGGAGGAGGCAAGCGUUAUCCGGAAUUAUUGGGCGUAAAGCGUCCGCAGGUGGUUAUACAAGUCUGCUGUCAAAGCGCGAGGCUCAACUUCGUACCGGCAGUGGAAACUGUAGGACUAGAGAAUGAUAGGGGCAGAGGGAAUUCCCAGUGUAGCGGUGAAAUGCGUAGAGAUUGGGAAGAACACCGGUGGCGAAAGCGCUCUGCUGGGUCAUAUCUGACACUGAGGGACGAAAGCUAGGGGAGCGAAAGGGAUUAGAUACCCCUGUAGUCCUAGCCGUAAACGAUGGACACUAGGCGUUGACCG